Molecule: small nuclear RNA, 102 nt
Organism: Solanum dulcamara
Lineage: Eukaryota; Viridiplantae; Streptophyta; Magnoliopsida; Solanales; Solanaceae
Source: RefSeq, a predicted model, not a curated record
GUCCCUUCGGGAACAUCUAAAAAAUUGGAACAAUACAGAAAAGAUUAACAUGGCCUCUGCGCAAGAAUAACACGCAUAAAUUGAGAAAUAGUCCAAUCAUGC